UACGUAGGGUGCGAGCGUUAAUCGGAAUUACUGGGCGUAAAGCGUGCGCAGGCGGUCCGCAAAGUCUGAUGUGAAAGCCCCGGGCUCAACCUGGGAGCUGCAUUGGAAACUAACGGGCUCGAGUGUGGCAGAGGGGGGUGGAAUUCCACGUGUAGCAGUGAAAUGCGUAGAUAUCUGGAGGAAUACCGGUGGCGAAGGCGGCAUCCUGGACCGACAUUGACGCUGAGGAGCGAAAGCUAGGGGAGCGAACAGG
RNAcentral lists this ribosomal RNA (253 nucleotides) under uncultured bacterium. Its description in RNAcentral is "partial 16S ribosomal RNA". It matches the Rfam family "Bacterial small subunit ribosomal RNA", at positions 524 to 776 of the family's 1533-position model. The record is from RNAcentral.